AUAUUUCUUUAAUAUAUUUUUUUUGAAAAAAGUCCAAUUUCUUCUUGGAGUUUCACAAAUAAAACAAUAUGACAUUUUUCUUUACUAGUUUUUAAUUAUAUCAAUCUGGGAAAUAUAAUUUGAUGCAAUGGAAAUAAAUAUUCAGAUGGAUUUGAAGAACCAAGUAUAAUAUUUCACAUUAUGAUUAAGACUAACAGUUAAUUGAAAUUAUACUUUAAUGUAAUAUUAUAUCAAGUCUGGCAUGAAUAUUGAGAAAUAAUAAAUUAUUACAUUGAUGUAAUAGUCCUCUUUUUAGUUUGUGUUUGAUGGACUGUCACAUGAAACACUUAACUUUACCUUCAAGAAGUAUUGUUAAUGAUUUUUAAGAGGGGAAAAAAAAAGAAAGAAAAGAAAAGAAAAGAAAAGAAUGAUAAACUAAUCAACAGAAGACAUUUCAAGUAUCAUCACAAACAAUUACAUAUAAAGCCAUCACAAGAUUUUGCACACCACAUGAAAACCACUCCAUGGAUGGCAUAAGAGCUCACAAGUGAUGUCCAAAUAGCCUUAAUUUGAUGCAAAAUGCAGUGCAUUUGAAAUAAUCGUUCUUUAAGAAAAUGGUGCAGUAUCAUUUAUUUACACAUGAUCACUGUUCUAAUAUACAAUUGUUAGGCAAUGGUGUACACAAACAACAACAACAACAACUCAAUGCUAGAUUCAAACUACAAAUCACAACAAACAUUUUGAAUAAAACCCCACCUGAAAAAUAUUCCAAAAUUGAUGUGGAGACAAUUCACAUACAUGAAGUAAGCAUCAGAGCAGACCAACAAGUCCACAAGGCACCAUGCAAACACACAAAAGAUGGUAGCAGUCGGAAAUAGGGAUAGACCCUGUGGCCGAGGGAUUCAGGACCCUAUAACCAGUAUUUCUCUCACACCCAGUUUCACUGAGACCAAAAUGGGCGGCAAUGCUUCAAUAAUUCCCCCUUCCUGGUUAUAAGGGACAAGUCAACACUAAGAGUAAUAAACCAGGACUGCCACUUCACCCGAGUUGUUGUUUUAUGGCCAUUGCUGGAGACCCCAGUAACAAAACAACAGAAGAUCCAUCUAAAACAAACCAAUGACGCAGCAGAAAACGAGCUCCAAAUAAAAUAGAAUAAAAUAAAAAUGGGGAGGGAAGAAAA
RNAcentral lists this long non-coding RNA (1159 nucleotides) under Physcomitrium patens. Its description in RNAcentral is "long non-coding RNA (PPAT_LNC005736)". Lineage: Eukaryota; Viridiplantae; Streptophyta; Bryopsida; Funariales; Funariaceae. The record is from RNAcentral.